UACGGGGGGAGCAAGCGUUGUUCGGAUUUACUGGGCGUAAAGGGCGCGUAGGCGGCGUGACAAGUCACUUGUGAAAUCUCCGGGCUUAACUCGGAACGGUCAAGUGAUACUGUCGUGCUAGAGUACAGAAGGGGCAACUGGAAUUCUCGGUGUAGCGGUGAAAUGCGUAGAUAUCGAGAGGAACACCUGCGGCGAAGGCGGGUUGCUGGGCUGAUACUGACGCUGAGGCGCGAAAGCUAGGGGGAGCGAAACAGG
Molecule: ribosomal RNA, 255 nt
Filed under: uncultured bacterium
Lineage: Bacteria
Description: partial 16S ribosomal RNA
Rfam family: Bacterial small subunit ribosomal RNA
Source: RNAcentral